This 468-nucleotide ribosomal RNA is filed under the name uncultured bacterium. Its description in RNAcentral is "partial 16S ribosomal RNA". It matches the Rfam family "Bacterial small subunit ribosomal RNA", at positions 28 to 507 of the family's 1533-position model. The record is from RNAcentral.
GACGAACGCUGGCGGCGUGCUUAACACAUGCAAGUCGAACGGAAAGGCCCUGCUUUUGUGGGGUGCUCGAGUGGCGAACGGGUGAGUAACACGUGAGUAACCUGCCCUUGACUUUGGGAUAACUUCAGGAAACUGGGGCUAAUACCGGAUAGGAGCUCCUGCUGCAUGGUGGGGGUUGGAAAGUUUCGGCGGUUGGGGAUGGACUCGCGGCUUAUCAGCUUGUUGGUGGGGUAGUGGCUUACCAAGGCUUUGACGGGUAGCCGGCCUGAGAGGGUGACCGGCCACAUUGGGACUGAGAUACGGACCAGACUCCUACGGGCGGCAGCAGUGGGGAAUAUUGCACAAUGGGCGGAAGCCUGAUGCAGCAACGCCGCGUGCGGGAUGACGGCCUUCGGGUUGUAAACCGCUUUCGCCUGUGACGAAGAGUGAGUGACGGUAAUGGGUAAAGAAGCACCGGCUAACUACGUG